GAAAAUUUGAGUGAUCAUUGGUGAAAUUAAUUCAAAAAUUAAAUGAUUAAAUGCUACAUAGCAAUUGAUAAGUGUGAAGCACAUCACCUUUCUAUUGGCAUUGAAAGGAAAAUAUGCAUAUAUUUUUUGGUCUACUAAGAAAGGAUAGUGGGAUUCAACAAGCAUAGGUUUUUUUCCAAAUUGAGCGCUGAACUUAUCAGUAGAAUAGACAUGUGGUACAUUCAUAGCAAAAUAUGAAUAUAUAGAUUGAAAUAAUGAUGGAAAGGCACUUGAGAGCACUAAACAGGAGGCCCCUCUUUUCCAUCACUGACCUUCUUCUCCGUCUCUGCAGCAAUCAAAUCGUUGAAAGUUUUAAGCUCCUUUUCACCAGAGUCACCAGGUGUAAGACGAACUUUGUAUUGGUGUCUUAUUGAAAACACAAGGAAAACAAAAAAGUUCAAUGUUCCUAGCACUGCAAGCAACCAAUAGAAGUUAUUUAACCUUCCCUUGUUCAAGUUGCUCCUGAGCCAUGUUUUCUUGGUCACUUUGUCAACUAUUGACACUAACAAACUACUAACAAAGAAACCCAUAGAGAGUGUGCUUAGGAAAAGCCCUGUGCUCAUUGAUUUCAUCCUCUCAGGUGCCUCUCUGAUGAAAAAUUCAAGUUGUCCAACGUAAACAAAAGCUUCCCCAGCACCCACCAGGAAGAAUUGGGGGACUAACCAGAAAGCAGUUAUCUGGGAAUUAUGUCGAACAGCAAUUUCCCUCCUCGCGUUCUCAAUAACAGCAGCUGCCACCAUUGCAGCUACUGAAAAAAUGAGUCCAAUACCAAUCCUUUGAAGACUUGUGAGUCCUUGGGUGUUGUGAGUGAGCUUUCGAGACAGGGGCACGAAGAGCCUUUCAUUGAGGGAUGUAAAUAGAAGAAUAGUGAUGAAGAGAAAGGUAGAAAACGAACCAGAAGGAAUAAGCAGGGAGCCAACCUUUCGGUUCAUGAAGGUCGCCUGCUCAAUGGUGAAAGUAGUCAUCUGAGAAUAGACUGUCCAAAAGAGGAUACAUGUAGACCAAAUAGGGAUGAGCUUGAGCACCAUCUUCACCUCUUCAACUUCCAUUACAGUGGACACUAUCCAAGGGUUGUUUUUGUUUCCUCCAGCAGAGGUGUGAUCAUCUAUAAUUGAAGCCUUGUCGAGAAAUUUGAACUUCUCAGUGUGGGGGACCUUGGAAUUGUGGUAAUCAUUCAAGAGGCUGGGAUGAGAAGGGUAGGGAUGAUUCCUCUUUCUCCAAGACAAGAAUAAGACCCUCCAUAUUACCGUUAAAGGGCUGCCUUGAGGCCUCUUGAAACGGUACCAUGGUGUCCCACAAAGCAAUAUAGCUACAGCAAUUACCAUUGUCCCUGCGGAUGUUCCAUAUCCCCACCCUCUUCCCACAUUAUCUUGUACGUAUACCAGCACUAUUACUGCAAACAAGGACCCAAUGCUGAUGCAGAAGUAGAAUCUAUUGAAGAAGAAAAUCAUGGCCUUCUCCUCCUUGGGGUCUGUCGAGUCGAAUUGAUCAGAUCCGAACCCUGACACGUUGGACUUGAUUCCACCACCACCAAGUGCUAUGGUAUACAGUGCUGCAUAUAGCAAAGCCAUUUGCCUGCCAUCGGCUUCAAUACACUGAUGAUGCUGUCUCCUGUAGUCGUCACACGGUGGAGGUCUCAUGCUAGAGAUGGUUGUAGCAAGUGUUAACAGAGUUACUCCCUGGUGAAGACAAAACGGAUUUGGCAUAAAUACCUCAACUGUAGAGAAAUACGCCUGAUUUUUGGUUUUUCAACUAGAGGUACCAUAACAGGUUGAGGGAUCAAUUGUUCAAACCCAAUCUCCCUCCCUGAAUCAAAGUUCAAGAAGAAUUUUCUACGCUGAUAUGGUACUAUUAGCACCAAAUUGCAUAAUGGGUGACUGAACAACCUAAAUAAACCUAAACAAGGUGACAUUUUAUUCUCUUGAACUGUAAAAUACACUUCAAUCAUAUUCUGAAAUGAGGGCUGGACUAUUACAUCAACUAUGUUUGCAAAUUUUGGUUCAGAGCUUACCACAGCAGUUAUGGAUGAAAAGAUUACCACUGUCAAAUACCGACCAAGUUUAGCAUCUGCCAAGAAACCCCCAAGCAAGCCAAGGAGGUUGAGAGUACCCAAGAAGUUGGUGACAAUGGUUGCAGAUUUUGCAGAAGAAAUAUGCAGAUCUCCUACCAAGUAUGUCACUAAAUUCAUUGAUAUCCCCAUCACACAUAUCCUCUCAGAAAGCUCAGUCCCUGUAAAAGUAUUACAGUGGAGAUUAAUAGAGCUUCAUUACAAGUUAAAAAAGCAACAUAUCCAGGUUGUUUUUUUAAGAAGCACCCAAAAUUAGCCCUGCAGCAAGCCAUCCUCCAGUUUUGGACUUGUCUGCAGGAUUUCCAUGAAAAUCCACAGCAGUGUCAUGGUGUGCUCCAUCCUCGUCGCCAUGGUUGGCUACUAAAACCAUUUUCUGACAGAAAGAAGUUGAUACUAUUUUAGCUCUGAAAAGGGUUUAUAAAAGAAGUGAAUGAUUGGAGUUGGGAUGGAGCCAAGUGUUCUCUCUCUCUCUAAUCUAUAAAGAAGAAAACAAAAAUUGCAUGAUUAUAAGGGAAAUAUGAUGAGCGUUAGGCAGUGGUAGAGUUCUCAUAGCUUCCACAACUUGUGUUCAUUGAUAACUGAUAAAGAGUGACUUAGAUGAUUUGUUGUU
This 2717-nucleotide unclassified non-coding RNA is filed under the name Hevea brasiliensis (rubber tree). The record is from RNAcentral. Lineage: Eukaryota; Viridiplantae; Streptophyta; Magnoliopsida; Malpighiales; Euphorbiaceae.